RNAcentral lists this ribosomal RNA (1240 nucleotides) under Ellipsomyxa arariensis. Its description in RNAcentral is "SSU rRNA". It matches the Rfam family "Eukaryotic small subunit ribosomal RNA", at positions 123 to 1409 of the family's 1831-position model. The record is from RNAcentral. Lineage: Eukaryota; Metazoa; Cnidaria; Myxozoa; Bivalvulida; Ceratomyxidae.
GGGUACCUGACGUUACCAUGGAUAACUGUGGUAAAUCUAGAGCUAAUACAUGCAAAUCCGGGUAGCAAUACUCGGAGCAUUUAUUGGACAUAGCCAACAGGGGGGCGGAAACGCAACCUUGAAGGUGAAUCUAGAUAACUGUGCAUAUCGUAUGGUCUUGUACCGGCGAUAGUUCGAUCGAAUUUCUGCCCUAUCAACUAGUUGGUUGGGUAGUGGCCAACCAAGGUUGUGACGGGUAACGGGGAAUCAGGGUUCGAUUCCGGAGAGGGAGCCUGAGAAACGGCUACCACAUCUAAGGAAGGCAGCAGGCGCGCAAAUUACCCAAUCCAGACAUUGGGAGGUAGUGACGAGAAAUACCAAAGUGUGCCUAUGGUUCACUAUUGGAAUGAACGUAACAUAGUACCUUCGAUGAGUACCUACUGGAGGGCAAGUCUGGUGCCAGCAGCCGCGGUAAUUCCAGCUCCAGUAGUGUAUAUCAAAAUUGUUGCGGUUAAAACGCUCGUAGUUGGAUUACAAAAGUUUGGCGCUAGUCAAGCAAUAGCUUGAAUAGUGUCGGGCUUUUUUAUCGCAAGAACCACUCGUGCAUUUAAACGUGUGCGGGUGACCACUUGCGGAGCGUGCCUUGAAUAAAGCACAGUGCUCAAAGCAAGCGUAACGCUCGAAUGUUUAAGCAUGGAACGAAUAACUCUGACUACAGGUUCAGUUGUUGGUUAUCUGAACCGGGUCCUGAUUAAAAGGGACAUUUGAGGGCGUUAGUACUUGGCGGCGAGAGGUGAAAUUCUUAGACCCGCCAAAGACUCACUAAUGCGAAAGCAUUCGCCAAGAAUGUUUUCAUUGAUCAAGAACGAAAGUUAGAGGCUCGAAGACGAUCAGAUACCGUCGUAGUUCUACACAGUAAACUAUGCCACCACGGAAUCAGUCCGGAGCUGAUCCAGGUUGGUUCCUCUAGGAAACUGCGAGAUUUCGGGUUCCGGGGGAGUACGGUCGCAAGGCUGAAACUUAAAGGAAUUGACGGAAGGCACCACCAGAGUGAGCCUGCGGCUUAAUUUGACUCAACACGGGGCAACUCCCAGUCCAGACAUUGAAAGGAUCGACAGACUGAUAGAUCUUCGAGAUCAUGAUGGUGUGCAUGGACGGUCUAGUGGUGGGAGCGAUCUGUCAGUCUAUCCGUUACGAGCGRACACGAAUCUUAUGAUUACGGCACUUGAUGACUGCCUAGAGGAACACCCGGAUAUAAUCG